This 164-nucleotide microRNA precursor is filed under the name Podarcis lilfordi (Lilford's wall lizard). Lineage: Eukaryota; Metazoa; Chordata; Lepidosauria; Squamata; Lacertidae. The record is from RNAcentral.
AGAACAGGGAGACGGAGCGCUGCGCAGCCUUCGGGGACAGCCUUCGAAGCCUCUGCAGGGCAGCGGGAUGCCUUUACCCCACUGCCCUGUGGAGGCUAUGCGCAGCCAUCCCCAAGCUAGAACAGCGAGACGGAGCGCUGCGCAGCGCUCCGUCUCCCUGUUCU